RNAcentral lists this unclassified non-coding RNA (266 nucleotides) under uncultured fungus. RNAcentral's name for it is "sequence contains ITS2". The record is from RNAcentral. Lineage: Eukaryota; Fungi.
AACGCACAUUGCGCCCGCUAGCAAUCUAGCAGGCAUGCCUGUUCGAGCGUCAUUUCAACCCUCAAGCGCUGCUUGCUUGGUGUUGGGGUUCUUCUGUGGCGGUUUGUACUGCCGCAGGCCCUGAAAUUUAGUGGCGGACUCGCUGGAGCUCCGAGCGUAGUAGUUUAUCUUUCUCGCUUAGGACGUUUUAGUGAGCACUAGCCGUUAAACCCCUUAUUUUACAGAAGGUUGACCUCGGAUCAGGUAGGAUUACCCGCUGAACUUAA